AGCGGCGGACGGGUGAGUAACGCGUGGGUAACCUGCCUCAUACAGGGGGAUAACGGUUAGAAAUGACUGCUAAUACCGCAUAAGCGCACAGUACCGCAUGGUACGGUGUGAAAAACUCCGGUGGUAUGAGAUGGACCCGCGUCUGAUUAGUUAGUUGGUGGGGUAACGGCCCACCAAGGCGACGAUCAGUAGCCGACCUGAGAGGGUGACCGGCCACAUUGGGACUGAGACACGGCCCAG
RNAcentral lists this ribosomal RNA (240 nucleotides) under uncultured bacterium. Its description in RNAcentral is "partial 16S ribosomal RNA". It matches the Rfam family "Bacterial small subunit ribosomal RNA", at positions 94 to 334 of the family's 1533-position model. The record is from RNAcentral.